UUCAUGAGAAGAAUGCUCAGGACAACUAGAUCAAGACUCAGAUCUGGGACAGGGAGACGGCAGAGCAGGGCAGGAAGGUCACUUACUUGAAAUACAGACUGGACGGGAUGGAAGCAAAGAGGCUGCCUGAGGGAUACAUUAGGCAGAAACCAAUGGCUGCAAGACCAGAGAUGUAGAACCCUCCAAGGAGAGAGUCUUUAGUAGAUCGAGAAACUGCUGAAACCUCUGUGAGUUACAGUGGCUCUGGCUGUACCAAGAAUGCAGACAAGGACAAGGUAAAUGCUGGGGCCAUUCUCAGUUGUAACUCUUUUGGGAAACCCUCAUCUUUAGGUACAGCACGCUCUCCCGGCCUUGUCUCGUUUUGCGUGUUGUGUGAUAUGUCUGUUUGUUCUUUGUUUUCGAAACACACACUCAUAACCCAGGAGCCCACAGCCUUCUCAAUUUUUAGUCUGUCAGCUUUCUGUGGUAAGUUUAGAAGCCAAAAGCGCUUAGAGACUGAGUACCUUAAGGUUUUUCCGUGAGUUUCAGGAAAUAAUGAGAGGAGGAUGACUGCACACUCCAAACAGAAGUCUCCUGGCCUGGGUGACCCCUUCCAGACCUCACCUCUGUGGGAACAGUGUGGCUUCUGUGUCUUCCUUUCUUAUUCGGUAGGAGAUGAACUGUUAGAAACGACCUCAGCACGUCCAACUUUAUAUUUUGUGCCCUGUGCCAUUUAGAGUGGUCCUAGAUAAAGUCAAUGUCAUCACUCAUCACCUUCCUGUCUUUGUUGGUAAAUUACUUGCCUGGAAUCCUCCAGCUAUACCUUAGGUAAAAAUAGUUUGAACACUGUGUCCUUCAAUUGUGUUUCUAUGAGCAGUUUUCUGUUGUGUCCCCAGUCACUGUUAGAGCUCAUACAGUCUCAUGACGCAUACCAGGAGUUUUAUACCAAAACACUUGCAUGAAAUCUGUUAUGUGAAUUUCUCCCUUUUUUUUUUCCGUUGCACAUAACUACUCUGUGUCCUGUAGUAUGCUUAACGUCAGAAUUCCCUAUGAAUUAAGAUGAACACAUCUGAGCUUUGUAGACAUUCACCACAAGUAACUCGUUCUUCACAGAAGACUCUCAUUCCCCUGCAGGAUUCCAGGCAUCCUCCACUCCCCAGAGGUCUCAGAGGCCUUUGACAACACUUCAAGAGGGAAGACUCCUUUCUCAGGGAGAAGAGCAGAGGAGGCAUAGAGAGGGUCCGGCUGCAGAACGUUUUGCCAGGAGUGGCUGUGAUUCCAUGAGCAGAAUAUGAGCCGUGUAUUCCCACUCAUUUUUUGUGUGUUCUUAAUAUAGCAAAAGCAGAGCAUCUGAAGUCGCUGUAGAGGAGGGAAGCAGGCUGAACCUGGACAUCGAUGGCUGCCUGUCUGGAGAAUGCUACUUCAUUAGUCUGUAAUUACUUCUGUUAACCCUCUAGGACAGGACCCUUGCCAUUUUACUUCCGCAGACAUGGGCAAUGAUGUGUGGUGGCAAUAGGUUAACCUCUUGCGUCUACUACCCCA
RNAcentral lists this long non-coding RNA (1521 nucleotides) under Felis catus (domestic cat). RNAcentral's name for it is "lncRNA (ENSFCAG00000046933.1)". The record is from RNAcentral. Lineage: Eukaryota; Metazoa; Chordata; Mammalia; Carnivora; Felidae.